Carassius auratus (goldfish) is the source of this 669-nucleotide long non-coding RNA. RefSeq lists it as uncharacterized. The record is from RefSeq and is a predicted model, not a curated record. NCBI's taxonomy places the organism in Eukaryota, Metazoa, Chordata, Actinopteri, Cypriniformes, Cyprinidae. The transcript is spliced from 3 exons.
CAAACCAGACCACACAUCUCAACAUCACUCAACUCUGUCACACGUGUCCAGGACUGAGGCAUCAUCUCAUACCACUGAUCGUUGCAGUGCUGCUUGUAAUUGUGGUUUUUGGCCUCAUGUUCAGCUGCUGGAUGAACUCUAAUCAGACCAGAGAACAGGAAGCCUGAAGGAUCUGAUUAUUCAUGCUGUGUUCCCUCAUUCAGUGUUUAUUACUAAACAUUGUGUCUCAAGCUGCUAACAGUAGCACACAGUUGAGUACUGAAGGAGUUAUAGGAAUACAUAUGAAGGAAUAUGGAUUAGUUCCCAUUCAAAACUGGAUGUAAAACCUUCGGUUGGAACAUGAAGAAACACACACACACACACACACACACACUUCCUCCUGAUGACAGUAUUACAUGUAAACACUUUACUGCUGUCUACAGCCGUCCAUACGAAGGCCAAUUUCAUGAACUCUAUUGUCUAUCUCUCAAAUAUAACCCAUUGUAGAAUUGCUGCUGUCUCUUUAUGAAUGAAUGGAAGAUUCACGUUAGACAAUGUGGAGUAAUAAAUCGCAGUGAAUUUUCAGACUAGGGGUGUCCUGGGAUUUUAACAAAGUGCUCAUAGUCCUUUUUUUUAAUACAAAACAUUCUCAAAACAACAUAAGAUGACAGUUAUAAAGGGCUUAUUAUA